UCUACGGGAGGCAGCAGUGAGGAAUUUUGCGCAAUGGGGGAAACCCUGACGCAGCAACGCCGCGUGGGUGAUGAAGGCCUUCGGGUCGUAAAGCCCUGUCGGGCGGGAAGAAGGGGUUUUGGGCAAAUAGCCCAAGAUUUUGACGGUACCGCCAGAGGAAGCACCGGCUAACUCCGUGCCAGCAGCCGCGGUAAUACGGAGGGUGCGAGCGUUAUUCGGAAUUACUGGGCGUAAAGCGCGUGCAGGCGGAAGGAGCAGUCUGAUGUGAAAGCCCGGGGCUUAACCCCGGAAGAGCAUUGGAAACCAUCCUUCUUGAGUGCUGGAGAGGAAGGGGGAAUUCCCGGUGUAGAGGUGAAAUUCGUAGAGAUCGGGAGGAAUACCAGUGGCGAAGGCGCCCUUCUGGACAGUCAAACUGACGCUGAGACGCGAAAGCGUAGGGAGCAAACAGGAUUAGAUACCCUGGUAGUCCACGCUGUAAACGAUGAGAACUAGGUGUAGCGGGUACUCAUUCCUGCUGCGUCCCGUAGA
This 528-nucleotide ribosomal RNA is filed under the name uncultured bacterium. RNAcentral's name for it is "bacterial SSU rRNA". It matches the Rfam family "Bacterial small subunit ribosomal RNA", at positions 338 to 854 of the family's 1533-position model. The record is from RNAcentral.